AGUGAACGCUGGCGGUAGGCCUAACACAUGCAAGUCGAACGGCAGCACAGUAAGAGCUUGCUCUUACGGGUGGCGAGUGGCGGACGGGUGAGGAAUACAUCGGAAUCUACUUUUUCGUGGGGGAUAACGUAGGGAAACUUACGCUAAUACCGCAUACGACCUACGGGUGAAAGCAGGGGAUCUUCGGACCUUGCGCGAUUGAAUGAGCCGAUGUCGGAUUAGCUAGUUGGCGGGGUAAAGGCCCACCAAGGCGACGAUCCGUAGCUGGUCUGGGAGGAUGAUCAGCCACACUGGAACUGAGACACGGUCCAGACUCCUACGGGGGGCAGCAGUGGGGAAUAAUGGACAAUGGGCGCAAGCCUGAUCCAGCCAUACCGCGUGGGUGAAGAAGGCCUUCGGGUUGUAAAGCCCUUUUGUUGGGAAAGAAAAGCAGCAGGUUAAUACCCCGCUGUUCUGACGGUACCCAAAGAAUAAGCACCGGCUAACUUCGUG
Molecule: ribosomal RNA, 492 nt
Filed under: uncultured bacterium
Lineage: Bacteria
Description: partial 16S ribosomal RNA
Rfam family: Bacterial small subunit ribosomal RNA
Source: RNAcentral